UACGUAGGGUGCAAGCGUUACUCGGAAUUACUGGGCGUAAAGCGCACGUAGGCGGCUUUGUAAGUUAGAGGUGAAAGCCCGGGGCUCAACUCCGGAAUUGCCUUUAAGACUGCAUCGCUAGAAUUGUGGAGAGGUAAGUGGAAUUCCGAGUGUAGAGGUGAAAUUCGUAGAUAUUCGGAAGAACACCAGUGGCGAAGGCGACUUACUGGACACAUAUUGACGCUGAGGUGCGAAAGCGUGGGGAGCAAACAGG
This 253-nucleotide ribosomal RNA is filed under the name uncultured bacterium. RNAcentral's name for it is "partial 16S ribosomal RNA". It matches the Rfam family "Bacterial small subunit ribosomal RNA", at positions 524 to 776 of the family's 1533-position model. The record is from RNAcentral.